This 433-nucleotide ribosomal RNA is filed under the name uncultured bacterium. Its description in RNAcentral is "partial 16S ribosomal RNA". It matches the Rfam family "Bacterial small subunit ribosomal RNA", at positions 29 to 507 of the family's 1533-position model. The record is from RNAcentral.
AACGAACGCUGGCGGCAUGCCUAACACAUGCAAGUCGAACGAGACCUUCGGGUCUAGUGGCGCACGGGUUCGUAACGCGUGGGAACCUGCCCUUAGGUUCGGCAUAACUCCCCGAAAGGGGUGCUAAUACCGGAUAAUGUCUUCGAACCAAAGAUUUAUCGCCUUUGGAUGGGCCCGCGUUGGAUUAGCUAGUUGUUAGGGUAAAAGCCUACCAAGGCGCCGAUCCAUAGCUGGUCUGAGAGGAUGAUCAGCCACACUGGGACUGAGACACGGCCCAGACUCCUACGGGAGGCAGCAGUGGGGAAUAGUGGAAAAUGGGCGAAAGCCUGAUCCAGCAAUGACGCGUGAGUGAUGAAGGCAUUAGGGUUGUAAAGCUCUUUUACCCGGGAUGAUAAUGACAGUACCGGGAGAAUAAGCUCCGGCUAACUCCGUG